Molecule: long non-coding RNA, 505 nt
Organism: Panicum hallii
Lineage: Eukaryota; Viridiplantae; Streptophyta; Magnoliopsida; Poales; Poaceae
Exons: 2
Source: RefSeq, a predicted model, not a curated record
CAAACCAUCCUCUCCUUUCUUGCCCUGCCUUAUCAUCUUCCCUUCCCUCUCCCUCUCCCUCCCUUAUCCUUUUCCUUUUCCAGGGGCGGCGCAGCCGGCCGGAGCUGCAGGGCCAGGGGCAAGGGCCGCCGCGGCCGGCAGAGCAGUGAGGCCAGGGGCCGCGUGGUGGCCGGAGCAGCGGGGCUUGUUAAGUUUUGGGCGAUGGUGCCAUGGCUUCUUCGUUUUCAGUUUAAGUUUUGUGUGGGCACAGCUCCCCGCGGUGGCGAAGCUGGUGGCCGCAAGCAGGGCAAGCACAAGCACAUGCCUUUUUUUAUUAUUUUUUAGUAGUGUUGGGUCCGGUUGGUAACCAACUCGGAUUAAAGAUUAUUUUUGGUCCUGAUUGUCUGAUCUGAAAUUAAAGGCUGGGAUUAAAGGCUGGGACCUUUAGUCCCGGAUUGACGAUCUCAGUUGGAAAAUCGGGAUAACUAAAUUUUCCCAACCGGAACUAAUGGGCAUUUAUGUACCA